Non-coding RNA from Vicia faba (fava bean), 216 nucleotides. The record is from the annotation of a GenBank genome assembly. Lineage: Eukaryota; Viridiplantae; Streptophyta; Magnoliopsida; Fabales; Fabaceae.
AUGGAGAGUCCAAAACAGAAUAAUGUCAGCUUCUUUCAGAUGCCACUUCACUAUCCAAGAUACACAGAGAAAGACUACCAAGACAUGCCUGAAUGGAAGCUUGAUAGUCUCCUUAAGGAGUAUGGUUUGCCUACAAAUGGUGAUUUGGCUUUCAAAAGAGACUUUGCUAUGGGUGCUUUUCUUUGGCCUAAGUUCUCUCUUAACUCAAAGUCUUGA